Molecule: unclassified non-coding RNA, 342 nt
Filed under: soil metagenome
Description: partial contains 5.8S ribosomal RNA, internal transcribed spacer 2, and large subunit ribosomal RNA
Rfam family: 5.8S ribosomal RNA (bases 4-118)
Source: RNAcentral
GAUAGAACGUAGCGAAAUGCGAUACGUAAUGUGAAUUGCAGAAUUCAGUGAAUCAUCGAGUCUUUGAACGCACAUUGCGCCCCCUGGUAUUCCGGGGGGCAUGCCUGUCCGAGCGUCAUUGCUGCCCUCAAGCACGGCUUGUGUGUUGGGCCUCCGUCCUCCUCCCGGGGGACGGGCCCGAAAGGCAGCGGCGGCACCGCGUCCGGUCCUCGAGCGUAUGGGGCUUCGUCACCCGCUCUUGUAGGCCCGGCCGGCGCUUGCCGACACAUCAAUCUUUUUUCCAGGUUGACCUCGGAUCAGGUAGGGAUACCCGCUGAACUUAAGCAUAUCAUAAGCGGAGGA